GACGAACGCUGGCGGCGUGCUUAACACAUGCAAGUCGAACGGAAAGGCCUGCUUUCCCUUGUGGAUUGCGGGUACUCGAGUGGCGAACGGGUGAGUAACACGUGAGUGAUCUGCCCCCAACUUGGGUAUAAGCCUGGGAAACUGGGUCUAAUUCCCGAUAGGACUGCAGGGUGGUGCCUGUGGUGGAAAACGAUUUUCUAGUGGUUGGGGAUGAGCUCGCGGCCUAUCAGCUUGUUGGUGGGGUAAUGGCCUACCAAGGCGGCGACGGGUAGCCGGCCUGAGAGGGUGGACGGCCACAUUGGGACUGAGAUACGGCCCAGACGCCUACGGGAGGCAGCAGUGGGGAAUAUUGCACAAUGGGCGGAAGCCUGAUGCAGCGACGCCGCGUGGGGGAUGACGGCCUUCGGGUUGUAAACUCCUUGCGACCGCGAGGAAGCCACCUGGUUGGAAGGGUGGUGACGGUAGUGGUAGAAGAAGCACCGGCUAACUACGUG
This 494-nucleotide ribosomal RNA is filed under the name uncultured bacterium. Its description in RNAcentral is "partial 16S ribosomal RNA". It matches the Rfam family "Bacterial small subunit ribosomal RNA", at positions 28 to 507 of the family's 1533-position model. The record is from RNAcentral.